RNAcentral lists this small RNA (107 nucleotides) under Pluralibacter gergoviae. Its description in RNAcentral is "Enterobacter gergoviae ArcZ RNA". It matches the Rfam family "ArcZ RNA". Rfam says of the family: This RNA was discovered in E. coli during a large scale screen. The record is from Rfam by way of RNAcentral. Lineage: Bacteria; Pseudomonadati; Pseudomonadota; Gammaproteobacteria; Enterobacterales; Enterobacteriaceae.
GCGUGUAACCAUUCACCGGCUGCGUGCGCCUAAAAUUUAUUCGAAUGAUUAAGCGCGGCUACGAUUUCCCUGGUGUUGGCGCAACGUUCGCGCACCCCGGCCUGGCC